GGGUGAGUGGUCCAAUGGUAAGAUACCGUCGCCUCCCCCGGCGGCCUCACUUUAGAGGCCCCGUUGCAAUGCAAGCCAUCGGGGGCGGCGGUGAUACUGGUUCGAGUCCGGUCUCAUCCA
Elasticomyces elasticus is the source of this 120-nucleotide non-coding RNA. NCBI's taxonomy places the organism in Eukaryota, Fungi, Ascomycota, Dothideomycetes, Mycosphaerellales, Teratosphaeriaceae. The record is from the annotation of a GenBank genome assembly.